RNAcentral lists this long non-coding RNA (233 nucleotides) under Hordeum vulgare. Its description in RNAcentral is "long non-coding RNA (HVUL_LNC016196)". The record is from RNAcentral. Lineage: Eukaryota; Viridiplantae; Streptophyta; Magnoliopsida; Poales; Poaceae.
ACACAUUUAUUCACUCCAGUUCAUCAUCCAGAUGAAACAGGCCUGACACAACUAAGCAUAGCAGGGUAAAGCACAUCAUGGAUCAAGAAACUACCAGGUAUGCUAGGUUGCAUGGUUUAGCUAUUUACUCUGACAAUGACAGGUCAUGUGGAGGAAUGGGUUCAACUACUAAAGCAAAAAACAUCUAAAAUGAUGUGUCCUAAUGCAAUAAAUGAGAGCAGAAACGAGAACAU